RNAcentral lists this non-coding RNA (788 nucleotides) under Atta colombica. RNAcentral's name for it is "Eukaryotic small subunit ribosomal RNA". It matches the Rfam family "Eukaryotic small subunit ribosomal RNA", at positions 553 to 1301 of the family's 1831-position model. The record is from Rfam by way of RNAcentral. Lineage: Eukaryota; Metazoa; Arthropoda; Insecta; Hymenoptera; Formicidae.
GGGCAAGUCUGGUGCCAGCAGCCGCGGUAAUUCCAGCUCCAAUAGCGUAUAUUAAAGUUGUUGCGGUUAAAAAGCUCGUAGUUGAAUCUGUGUCGCACACCGUCGGUUCACCGCUCGCGGUGUUUAACUGGCGUGAUGUGGGACGUCCUACCGGUGGGCUUAGCCUCGCGAGGGGCGGCCCAACUAAUAUCCCGUCGCGGUGCUCUUUACUGAGUGUCGAGUCGGGCCGGUACGUUUACUUUGAACAAAUUAGAGUGCUUAAAGCAGGCUAUCCUCGCCUGAAUACUGCGUGCAUGGAAUAAUGGAAUAGGACCUCGGUUCUAUUUUGUUGGUUUUCGGAACCCCGAGGUAAUGAUUAAUAGGGACAGAUGGGGGCAUUCGUAUUGCGACGUUAGAGGUGAAAUUCUUGGAUCGUCGCAAGACGGACAGAAGCGAAAGCAUUUGCCAAAAAUGUUUUCAUUAAUCAAGAACGAAAGUUAGAGGUUCGAAGGCGAUCAGAUACCGCCCUAGUUCUAACCAUAAACGAUGCCAGCUAGCGAUCCGCCGAAGUUCCUCCGAUGACUCGGCGGGCAGCUUCCGGGAAACCAAAGCUUUUGGGUUCCGGGGGAAGUAUGGUUGCAAAGCUGAAACUUAAAGGAAUUGACGGAAGGGCACCACCAGGAGUGGAGCCUGCGGCUUAAUUUGACUCAACACGGGAAACCUCACCAGGCCCAGACACCGGAAGGAUUGACAGAUUGAUAGCUCUUUCUUGAUUCGGUGGGUGGUGGUGCAUGGCCGUUCUUAGUUGG